CCCCCACUCCUUUCUCUCCCACGCAACCUCCCCUUUCCUCAUUUUCCCUUCCCCGCCGCCCCCGUCCCCGCCCCAUCGGCGCAUUCCAGUUCCUCCGUCGCCGGCCACCGGAGAAGGCGCCUUCCUCAGAUCCGCUUCUCCCCUAAAACUUCUCAACUUUGUGUUGCACCCGUCCUCAAUGAUGGUUGUAGAGGUGGGGGCAGGGAAGUAGAUGGCGUGGCCGUCGGCCGGAGACAGAGCAGGGUGCUGCCAACGGGAGAGGCGCCCCUCCCUGCUUCUUGGCGAGCGUGGCCACUUCUUCCAGGCCCGCUACUUCGUCGAGGAUGACGGGAUCAACAUCUACAAGACAUGGCUGUUGAGGAGGCUCGUGCAGCGCGUGGGGUGAUGGGAGCGGGAAGAAAAGAAAGAGCGGCGGCGGCAGCGAAUUUCUCCAUCUCACGGGGCCAGCCCUCCCGUCCGCGCCGCAACACCGCUGGUAUCGAGGCGGUGAAAUCCUUCUCAGGUGGCAGAGGCUAACAGCCUUGAUAUAUUUGGAGAUUCUAAGUGUGUAGUUUUCUUUGUGCACACCAAUUGUUUGAUGAAUUGCUAGAAGAAAUUGUACGUCUUUUUGUUGCAUGCGUUUGAAGCAGGUAAAGUGUGAUUUAGCCAUGCUUUUUAAAAUCACUCAUGAAAUCUUUUGAAAAUGUGAUGAAGUAGUUCAGUUGUGACCGAAUGUGGUGGCCUAUCGCCGACCGCGGCGGUGGUGGAUUCCCUAAGGUGGGUAACUGAGGCAGCCACGGAGGGAGGUCACUCUUAGUUCAUCUGCCGGUUUGCUCUGUCUCCUGACGGCAGCCAAUGAGUGCACCAUGAGGCGGCUAGCAGGAGCCCUAAGGUCGAUGGCGCCGGGGAGGAGGCAGACUGGCAGGACGGGUACUGUCGUGCUGACUGGAGCAGCGGCCGGAAUGUGUCUCCGGCACGAGAGGGUGGGAUGAGGACGAGGUCCUUUCGUUUUGCUAAGCUAAGAUCCACACUUCUGUUUUGUUCUUCCACUGCAAUGUUGAUUCUACUGACCUAAUCCAUAGCUCUGGAUCCAUAUUCCUUGCAGGGGCGUUAUCUCUUGGCGCGGUGGCGCGAGGCUGCAGGAGGCCAGCCCGGGUUUGCUGAGGUGAUCUCCCUGUCCUUGGACGAGGAGGUCGACAAGGACGCCGUGGUGGAACUUGUCGAGGAAGAAGAAGAACCGGCGCAAGGAGAGGAGGAAGAAGCAGCGGAAGGAAGACGCCGCUGACAGUCAGGACAAGCUUCAGGUUGCUGGCACCUAGGAGGGACGGGAUAGCAAGAUCAGUGCUCAUUGAAGAUGGUGUUGAUUCCCCUUACCCGACAACAUAGUUCUGCGGAAGCUUCUUCAUAUACCAAGACACUUCUCCGUAUGCGAUAUACACACACACACGGAGUGAGCUUUUCUCUGCGGUUCUGGUGACCGGCACAUAGGGUUUCCAUUCCAUGGUGUUGCCAAUGAGCAAGCUUAAGGCAUGCUAACAAACUCGCAGGAUGGAGUUAAAACUCUUCAUCUUUGUCUAGCAGCAUCAGAAUUACAGUCUAGCAGUAUCUCGGUCACAAAAUGCUUUGGAUAGCAUAUGUACUUCUGUCAGUUGCAUUCCGUAUCUUUUAUCUCAUCUAUUUUAUUUCGAUUAGGAGAUUGAGAAAAUAAGGGUAACCGUUCUGCGUUGGAAAUAAUUUCUAGUUAAAAAAGCAUGCCAUGGCUUAACCUGAUAAACACAUGAUAAGUCUCCUUUUGUGAUUCAGGGAAAGGAAAACAGCAUCAUCCCACGUUCUUACAUUCAGAUUUCUGAGCAGAGAGAUAGUAGUUUGUAAGGUCUCGGUCAAACUGCAGAGCUCUGUUAAUGAUGGGGGAGCACUUGUUGUCAGGGUUGGCUACGGUGGCGGCAAGAUAACAUUCACGGAACUGGAGCUCACCCGGAGGAGGAAAAUCCGUUAGUUCUUCUCGCGCCCUUCGUCAUCCAUGAUAAAGAUCAUCAAUGCAAAGCCAUCAAGGUUCUUUGUACCAUGGUCUUUGACCCUGUUUCUAAGAUCAGUUUCAGGUAUUAACGUUGUUGAAGAUCAUCCUCAACAACUCCUCGCCACGCCCACUAGCUGUAAGAUACCGUUCCCCGAGUUCUUACUUACUGCUGUAGUUGAUUGGAUUGGAAGAUAUUUGUGUUUUAUCAAAUUCAUAUGGGAUUCUUUUAAGUUUGAGAAAAAAUGAUGCAAGAGAACGAGGAAGGCCCCAACCAGCCGACGGACGUGGCGGCUGCUGCAGCUGUUGGUGCUCUGGGCGCGCAAGGGUAGCUCGAUCCUCCUCCUGGUCUAGACACUGCAGCACAGCCGCGUCAGCCUUGGCGGCUGGCGCAUCACAAAGAUCUAUAUGUAGAUGAACUGCAGCGACAAUUCUGGAACUGCAAUACAACGACAUGAUGAAGAGAAGCAUCUGAUAGAUAUAGCAUUAAGAUUGCUUGUUUAUUUGAUGUGUUUGGUUCACUUUUUAUGAAGAGGAGCAUCGUAUGUAAUGCAUCAGCUGUACAUGGAUGUAUGUUAUCAAUCAGAGCUCAAAUUCACUGGAAAGGGUGCCACACUACCUGGCACCGCAAAAA
Non-coding RNA from Aegilops tauschii subsp. strangulata, 2627 nucleotides. The record is from RefSeq and is a predicted model, not a curated record. Lineage: Eukaryota; Viridiplantae; Streptophyta; Magnoliopsida; Poales; Poaceae.